This 320-nucleotide ribosomal RNA is filed under the name uncultured eukaryote. RNAcentral describes it as "partial 18S ribosomal RNA". It matches the Rfam family "Eukaryotic small subunit ribosomal RNA", at positions 1470 to 1796 of the family's 1831-position model. The record is from RNAcentral.
CCCCUAGACGUUCUGGGCCGCACGCGCGCUACACUGAACAGUUCAACAAGUCUUAACCUUGGCCGAUAGGUCUGGGUAAUCUUUGAACGCUGUUCGUGAUUGGGAUAGACCUUUGCAAUUAUGGGUCUUCAACGAGGAAUUCCUAGUAAACGCAAGUCAUCAGCUUGCAUUGAUUACGUCCCUGCCCUUUGUACACACCGCCCGUCGCACCUACCGAUUGAAUGGUCCGGUGAAAUCUCGGGACGGCGGCUUGGUCGCUUGCGUCCGACUGCUGAAACUUGAUUAAACCAUAUCAUUUAGAGGAAGGUGAANUCGUAACA